UACGUAGGUGGCAAGCGUUGUCCGGAUUUAUUGGGCGUAAAGCGAGCGCAGGCGGUUUCUUAAGUCUGAUGUGAAAGCCCCCGGCUCAACCGGGGAGGGUCAUUGGAAACUGGGAGACUUGAGUGCAGAAGAGGAGAGUGGAAUUCCAUGUGUAGCGGUGAAAUGCGUAGAUAUAUGGAGGAACACCAGUGGCGAAGGCGGCUCUCUGGUCUGUNAACUGACGCUGAGGCUCGAAAGCGUGGGGAGCAAACAGGA
Molecule: ribosomal RNA, 255 nt
Filed under: uncultured Enterococcaceae bacterium
Lineage: Bacteria; Bacillati; Bacillota; Bacilli; Lactobacillales; Enterococcaceae
Description: partial 16S ribosomal RNA
Rfam family: Bacterial small subunit ribosomal RNA
Source: RNAcentral